This 301-nucleotide ribosomal RNA is filed under the name uncultured bacterium. RNAcentral's name for it is "partial 16S ribosomal RNA". It matches the Rfam family "Bacterial small subunit ribosomal RNA", at positions 509 to 807 of the family's 1533-position model. The record is from RNAcentral.
CAGCAGCCGCGGUAAUACGAAGGGGGCGAGCGUUGCUCGGAAUGACUGGGCGUAAAGGGCGCGUAGGUGGCGUGCACAGUCAGAUGUGAAAUUCCUGGGCUCAACCUGGGGGCUGCAUUUGAUACGUGCGUGCUAGAGUGUGGAAGAGGGUCGUGGAAUUCCCAGUGUAGAGGUGAAAUUCGUAGAUAUUGGGAAGAACACCGGUGGCGAAGGCGGCGACCUGGUCCAUUACUGACGCUGAGGCGCGAAAGCGUGGGGAGCAAACAGGAUUAGAUACCCCCGUAGUCCCUGUCUCUUAUAC